GAUGAAGAACGUAGCGAAAUGCGAUACGUAAUGUGAAUUGCAGAAUUCAGUGAAUCAUCGAGUCUUUGAACGCACAUUGCGCCCCCUGGUAUUCCGGGGGGCAUGCCUGUCCGAGCGUCAUUGCUGCCCUCAAGCACGGCUUGUGUGUUGGGCCUCCGUCCUCCUCCCGGGGGAAGGGCCCGAAAGGCAGCGGCGGCACCGCGUCCGGUCCUCGAGCGUAUGGGGCUUCGUCACCCGCUCUUGUAGGCCCGGCCGGCGCUUGCCGACACAUCAAUCUUUUUUCCAGGUUGACCUCGGAUCAGGUAGGGAUACCCGCUGAACUUAAGCAUAUCAAUAAGCGGAGGA
This 345-nucleotide unclassified non-coding RNA is filed under the name soil metagenome. RNAcentral describes it as "partial contains 5.8S ribosomal RNA, internal transcribed spacer 2, and large subunit ribosomal RNA". The stretch from base 1 to 120 matches the Rfam family "5.8S ribosomal RNA", at positions 35 to 154 of the family's 154-position model. The record is from RNAcentral.